GGGUCAGUAGGUUGGUCGUGCCACCGGUACGUACUGGUCUCACUGAUUCCUCCUUCCUGAAGAACCAUAAUGCCAUUAAUUUGUUGUUGCGGGGAAACAGGACUGUUACUUUGAAACAAUUAGAGUGUUUAAAGCAAGCUAACGCUUGAAUACAUUAGCAUGGAAUAAUGAAAUAGGACGAUCGAUCCUAUUUUGUUGGUUUCUAGGAUUGACGUA
RNAcentral lists this ribosomal RNA (216 nucleotides) under Glomeromycotina sp. RNAcentral's name for it is "partial small subunit ribosomal RNA". The stretch from base 40 to 216 matches the Rfam family "Eukaryotic small subunit ribosomal RNA", at positions 686 to 864 of the family's 1831-position model. The record is from RNAcentral. Lineage: Eukaryota; Fungi; Glomeromycota.